This 440-nucleotide ribosomal RNA is filed under the name uncultured bacterium. Its description in RNAcentral is "partial 16S ribosomal RNA". It matches the Rfam family "Bacterial small subunit ribosomal RNA", at positions 338 to 795 of the family's 1533-position model. The record is from RNAcentral.
CCUACGGGUGGCAGCAGUGGGGAAUAUUGCUCAAUGGGGGAAACCCUGAUGCAGCGACGCCGCGUGGAGGAUGAAGGGCCUCGGCGUGUAAAGCCCUGUUUGUAGGGAAGAAAAUGACGGUACCUGAAGAAGAAGCCCCGUCUUACUACGUGCCAGCAGCCGCGGUAAUACGUAGGGUGCAAGCGUUAUCCGGAGUUACUGGGUGUAAAGGGGGCGUAGACGGGUUAGCAAGUCAGUUGUGAAAGCCUGGGGCCCAACCCUGGAACUGCAGUUGAAACUGGGAGGCUAGAGUGCAGGAGAGGUAGGCGGAAUUCGUGGUGUAGCGGUGAAAUGCGUAGAUAUCACGAGGAACCCCGAUUGCGAAGGCAGCCUGCUGGACUGCAACUGACGUUGAGGCCCGAAAGCGUGGGGAGCAAACAGGAUUAGAUACCCGAGUAGUC